GCCAUUAGUCCACUAACGUCUCUCACUACCGCCGAGGCAUACAAAAACGAGUCUAAAAAAGGUUGCUCACCCUGGAGAACACAAGUAAACAUCUAUCGGGAUGAACUCCCAGAGCUGGAAACGGAACUGCACCUGCUGUGUAGCCUUCCUUACUCCCGUUCGGGGCCUAACCACCUUUUUUCGGGCCUUUACUCUCUUGGGGCCUGUACCGGCUCUUUAUGAACAUUUUCCCGGGAUUUUUUUUUCCCCCCACUUCAAAUCUCAAAGGCUGUAUGUCAUUUCCCAAAAAAAGGGCCCGGAGUCUUCGACGACUUCUCCAAGCUCAGCCAGUGAGUGGCCGGGCUCCUACGGCGGAACCGGCCCCCUCCAAGCCCACGAACCGCACCCGCCCGAGCACCGCCCGGUUCCGCCCCCCAGCGCGAGCCUGGGCUUCCGGGCACUCGCGGCCGUCGUCGCCGUCGCGCGAGGUGAGCUGGCCCAGCCAGCGCGGCGAGGCCGGCGGGGGACCGCGGACGGACUGCCCCGCCGGGCGCAACGGCUGGGCGCCGGGCCCCGGUGUCCCGGCAACAGGAUUGGGAGUCCAUGCCACACUCACCUGCCUGCUCGACUGAGGAAUUACCAUGGUAAAGGGAAACGAGGAAAAGGCCAAGGCAAGUCUCGCGGGAAGAAACAGAAGAAACCGGAAGUGGACAUUCUCAGCCCUGCUGCCAUGCUGAACCUCUACUACAUUGCCCACAACGUGGCCGACUGCCUGCAGCUGCGGGGCUUCCGCUGGCCAGGUGCUCCCAAAGCAAAGAAAGGGAAAAACAAGACUUAAUAGCACUUCACAGAGAGCAGAACUUGGGGAAGAGGAAUCAGGAUAACACAACUACUGCAAGCAAAAUAGACUUCACUGAAGACAAUUUGAGAUGCAAGCUAAGUGUGCUUUUCUAUGGUAGUUAAGGAUAAAGAAAUGCAUUUUACUUGCCAGCUAAAUUCAGCUAUAGUUAGAAGAGGUCAAGGGGGGAAAAAGUCCGAGUAAUUCCUACCAAGCGUGGUGGAAUUGAUAGGACUUUAAAAAUUAUUAUAAUUCUGGGUCAGAAUAAACUUUGUUCUCAAAAGGCAGUUCUAGCCUGCAUGAAUGAUUUUCUUUUGCCUAAACGGGUUUGUUACAUAGAAAAGGCAUGCCUGGGGCACUCGAGUAGCUCCGCUGGUUAAGUGGCAGACUCUCCAUUUUGGCUCAGGUCUUGAUCCCAGGGUGGUGAGUUCAAGCCCCUGCAUUAGGCUCCACGCUGGGCAUGGAGCCUACUUAAAAAAAAAAAAAAAAAAAAAAAAAGACACGACAAAAAGCACAGGAUUUGCUUAUGAACAGCCUUCUCUUGGGCACUGUUUCCUUUUUUCAUCUUUUUCGGGAAAAAUAAUGAAUACUUUGUUUCUAUAAUUUUUUCUUCUCAGCAGUCUGACUCUUGGCUGAUUUUAAUUAGUCAGGGAUGCCGGUGGAGACUGGGAUCAUCACUCUGACCUUGCUAGGGCAUAUAAGCAAAUGACUCAAAGGAGCUGACAAGGGACCGUGUCCUGGUGCCGGGAAAGGGAGCAAAUCAGCACACAUCUCUCCCUUCUUUCCAUUUCACUGGACUCUUCCCCACGCUUUUCCUCCACACUUACAUCUUCCUUCCACCUUCUGCGGGCUUCCUUCUAAACGUGGCUGACCCUGAGUUAUGGAACAGGUGCUAGAAACUUGCCAUGGGCAUUCUGCUGCUAUUCCAUGAUCCACGUAAGAGAUAAAACUGCAGUUCUUCUCUUCAGUCCAAAAGGCCUAAAAGCCCCAAAUGUGAAACUUGGAAGGAAAGGCAUUUGAAGUAUAAACACCAUCUCUGAAUCACCUAGCAUCCCGUCCCUGCUCCUGCUCUGUCUUCCCGGCAUGUCGCACCACGUUCCCAGUGCUGACAACCUGCACUGGGCUCUCCAGUCACAGCUGUGGGCCCGAAGUUGACGCCUCUAAGGCAGCACCUGUCCGGGGAUGAUCUCGUUUGUCUGAAUUGCUUGUAACGAUGCCGCAGGUUGCCUGGUGAGGCUCUCAGAGAUUCACAAAGUCUGCUAAGAAAGGCUGCAACCUAGGACUCUGGAUUUCAUAAAUACCAGAGGAAAAAAGGCAAUCACACGAAUCCUUGUACUAGAGAAGUGGGGUGCUCGCGCCGCAUGUGAGCUUGCUGGCAGUGACAUUCCUCUAUGGCUGUCCCACCUGCGCAGAUGCCAUGUGAGACCCUGACUAGUGGCCAGAGGAGCCCUCGCUCGCUCGGGUGAAGGUUGGUGCUGCUCUUAAGCUAAAGGGGGGCCCUGUGGGUUCUCUGUGGAUGGGCUUUGGAAAGGGAGCACCUUCCCACUCUGCUAGACACUGCCGGGAUGGACCCAAGUGGUUUCUGUUUGUGGAGACGCUAACUCCAGUUCAGUCCUUCCCGAACCUGAGCAAGCAGCACCUGGAGGACGCGUCAAAGCGCACAAGGGUGGGAGUCGGGAAUUUGCUGGACCGCACCCGGGGAGGAGCUGGGCUCUAGUUAAUGCGGCCUAACCAGGGGCUGAGAUGCUUGUUGAGUCUUUCAACUUGUAGGGUGUCUCACGCCCUCCUCUGCCUCGCUCGGCUCGGAGCUUGUAUCUGAGCAGUAAUGCUUAUUGGAACGCUGGGGAGGUGGCAUUUGCAGAGGCUUUUUCUGAUCUUGUCCCCAGCACGGAUGACAUCAUCUAAGGAGCUACAGAGACAUGCCAGGCGGCAGACAUUUAAAGGCUAAGAAGAUCAUCUGGAAGUGGAAAUGCUUUCUUCUCUUGAGAUGGUUAAACGAUGAGCAGAAAGGCUAGCACAGCUGGUUGGACCAGCGGGAGGCUCCUGACCCCUGAAAACUCAUCCACUGGCUGCUCCGACGAGCCUGGUCUAUUGUAAGACCAGGUGGGUCCAUCAGAGUCUCCGUCUGUCCUGUAAAGACCCGGAGAACGAGGCACGUAGGAAGCUGACGCUUGGAGGAAGGAUAGAAAGAGACCACAGGCUACAGCUGGAGCCCCAGGGGUCCCCCACAAGUUGAAGUUGCGGAAAAGCGGAAACCUACAAUUUUAUUUAUCCACUUGACAGAGAGCACAAGCAGGGGCAGCGGCAGGCAGAGGGAGAGGGAGAAGCAGGUUCCUCGCCCAGCAGGGAGCCCGAUGCGGGGCUCCAUCCCAGGACCCCGGGAUCAUGACCUGAGCUGAAGGCCGACGCUUAACCCACUGAGCCACCCAGGUGUCCCAUGUCUCCAUACUUUCACAAUUAAAUGGCUGAUCGAUUAAUGGUUAUCUUCGCUGCUAGAAUGCAGUUCUCUGCUAGCAGGGCUGGUCGGCUUGUUGAUGGCUUCCUUGGGCCCUGUGACAUCAUAACCAGCACUCUGGCAUAUAAAUAUUUGUUGAAGGAUUUUUCUAACAAGCUAUUUAUGCUACAGUAACAACCCCCAAAUCUCAGUGGCUUAAAACAACAAAGGUUUAUUUCUUAUUAAAGCUUUAGUUCCUGGAGGGCUGACCCAAAGGUUUCUUUCUCCCUCGGGCUCCAUGUCCAUUGAGGGUGGGCCGGGGGCCUGCCUCCAGGGACCCGGGCUUACAGAGCAGCCAGCACUUGGGGUGUCAUAGGCUGCCAGGCCGAGAGAAAGAAGGAAAGAAAAUGUGAACUGCACACGGGUUCUUAAGGUUCCCACCCAGAAGUGACAGAUCGCUUCUCAUUUUAUUGGCCAAAACAAGCCACGUGGCCACAGCUCACUUCAAGAGAGGGGGGAAAUGCAAUGCCCCACAUGCCCCACAGGGGAACCACAACUAUUUGCGGGAUAGCGCUGGUAACUCUCUGAAGCACGCAUCGCUUCUGUAAUAAAAACGACUCCGAAACCAAAAACGGAAUGCAACAAAAGGGCUGAGAAACGGGUGGUCCAGAGAGGCAGCUUCAAGAAGAAACGCCUCCUCAGGACGCCGCAGCUGUGCCCUUGUGUUCUGUUUAUCGAGCCACCUGUAGAGGUGACCAAGGGGUUAGGAUACCUGAGCAAAGCAGGAGUUUUGUUUUGUGUUCACAUUUAUUUAUUUGAGCGAGAGAGAGCGCGCGAGCACAAGUCGGGGAGGGGCAGAGGGAGAGAGAGAAUCUCAGGCGGACUCCGCGAUGAGUGUGGAGUCCCAUGCGGGGCUCGAUCCCAGAAUCCUGAGACCGUGACCUGAGCUGAAACCAAGAGUCUGAUGCUCAACCAACCGAGCCGCCCAGGCGCCCCUAAAGCAGAGUUUUAAGUCUUAAAACUCUUCUUAGCUCUAUCACAUCUUCUUCUCCAACUUCUAGAGAAACCAUUCAAAUAAGAUGAUUGUUCUUAAAUAUUUUAUUUUUAUUAAUGUUUAAAUUUAUCACAAUGAAACUCAUAAUCCAGCAAUUACACUAUUUGUAUUGAGACUAUGCUUCCUGAUUUCCUGUGUAAAAAAGAAAGCCCAAGAUUUUGUCAGUUGCCAAAAAAAAAAAAAAAAAUCUGAGCCCAACCUUUCCAUUUGUUGAAGACAGAAGAGCACUGAAAGAGUCCCAUGAAGCAUGGAUUCCUGCUCUGUGCUGUCUUCUUGGUGACCCCCACCCCCCCCGCCCCGAGUCAUGGAGCCUUGGCUGUGACCCAUCACAGGAACCCCCUCUAUACCCUGCUCUCAGAGCAGCAUUUGGCCAGAGGUGGCCUCCUGGUGGGUUUCACCCGGCUCUCCCUCUGCCUCCAUGGCUACAAACGGGUUCACCCGCUCUGCCCCAUGGCAGCCUUACACACUCUGAGAGACUGUUCUUGGUGGAGAGGACACACGUUCUGCUCCAGGCCAAACACCCCAGUCCCUUCAACCGCUUUUUACUUAACAUGACUCCUCUUGGUCACCCUAUUCUGGAUCCUCCAGGGUGUCAUAUCUCCUGUGGCUAGUAGGAUGGGGCACCCAUGUUUCCCAUGCCAGUGAGGCCCUGGCCCCCUGAACUCUAGACUUUAGACCAUCUUUCCAGUCCAGGCUGACAUGAGGCUUUAGGAAUAGAUUCUUCAUUUAAAUAGCUUAAGGCUUGGUGUGGCCAUUGUAGAACAUAAUUCGGUGGUUCCUUAAAAAGUUAAACAUAGAGUUACCAUACGAUCCAGCAAUUCCACUAACAGGUAUGUACCCCAAAGAGUUAAAAGCAGGGAGCCAAACAGAUACUUAUACACCAACAUUCGUGGCAGCACUAUUCACAACAGCCAAAAGGUGGAAGCAGCCUAGGUGUCCAUCAACAAGUGAAUGGAUAAACGAAAUGUGGUCUCUGUAGACAACGGAAUAGUAUUCAGCCUGAAAAAAGAAGGAAAUUCUGGCUUAGGCUGCAACAUGGAUGAACCUUGAAAAUGUUAUGCUACAUGAACUAAGCCAGAUUCAAAAGGACAAAUAUGGUAUGACUCACUUGCAUGAGUUCUCUCGAAUAGGUACACUCAUAGGGAUGGAAUGUAGACUAGUGGUUGCCACGGGCUGAGGGGAGGGCAGAAAGGGAAGCUACUGUUUAAUGAGUUUCUCUCUUAGAUGAUGAAAAAAAUGUAAAUGGACAGUGAUGGGAGCGCCUGGGUGGAUCAGUCGGUUGGGCAUCUAACUCUAGAUUUUGGCUCAGGUCAUGAUCUCAGGGUUGUGAGAUUGAGGCCCCAGCAGGCUCUGCACUAGGCAUGGAGCCUGCCUGGGAUUCUCCCUCUCCCUCUACCCUUCCCUCCCCAAAAGAAAAUUUAAAAAAUGGGCAGUGAUGAUGGUUGUACAACGUUGUGAAUGUACCCAAUGCCACUAAACCAGUUACUUAGAAAUGGUUAAAGUGAUAGAUUUUUUGUUGUGUAUAUUUCACCACAAUGAGAAAACACAAAAUCCAUCAAGGCUCUUUUUUCUCGAUCUCCUGUAUGAGUGGGAGGGAGGGACAGCUUAUGCAGCACAGACUUCCCACAAGAGGCUUUCUCUCUGCAAGUGAGCAGUGGUGGGGGGUGGGAAGCAGAUGUGAUCCCCCCGCUCCCAGGACUCCUUCCUCACCCGGCUCCCUCCCUCUGCACACAGCCUUAUUUCUCCUCCUUUUCUUGUGACUCAGAGAAACCAGGGCACUCUUUCUGGCCUCCUGCACAACUCCACUCGAGGCCCCCGAACCACAUCACAGGCCACUGCCCCCUGGACCACCCACCCCUUGACCUCUGCCUGCCUUGACCCACUUCCCACAGAAAACAUUUCAUCCCUGGCCUUGCUUGACAUUCCCUGAUUCAGAGUCUGCACUUCCUACCUGCUAAUUCACACCUUGGAUCUGUUACUCUGUGAACAGCCUCCCCCAGUUACAUCAACCUGUGUUUUCUCUCCUGGAUGAGGAUGUAAAAUGCAUUAACGAUAAAUGAGGCAGAGAAGCUGUGACUGAGAGGUCAGGCUCACGGCAGGCUCAGCACAAGGCGAGCGUGCAGGACUCUGAAGGCUGGGCAGACUCGGGCCUGCCAGCUCAUCAGCUUCAGGCCCCUGCCAGCGGGUGACCCUCAGGCGGUGGCUUCUUGGACCUCCUGGUCCCUGGCUUCCGGGACACUGGUCACCAUCGUACCGACCAUAGUCGUAUUUGCCACGCAUGGUCACUGGGAGAGCUGUGAAAAGCAGUGUCCUCCCAUCUGGGCCCACCUGUUGGCUAUGGGAGCUGAAUCGCCCAGUGUCAUUUGGUCCCUUCUCUGUCUCCAGGUGUCCUUCAGCCUUGACUUCUUUGGCAGUCUGACCCCAAGUGUGUGCAGCCCAUAGGCCUCUGUUCUGUCAGACCGCUGAGCUCCAUCCGCACCGCUGAAGUCACCUUCCGAGAACCUACCAAGGAUGGCAGCCCGCUGCUGUGCGUGUGCGUGUGCGUGUGUGUGUGUGUACUGCAUUUUCCUUAUCCAUUCGUCUACUGAUCGACGCUGAGGUUGCUUCCAUACUUUGGCUAUUGUAAAUAAUACCCGCCAUAACCAUAGGAGUGCAUAUCUCUUUUUGAAUUAGUGUUUUCAUUUUCUUUGGGUAAAUACCCACUAGUGAAAUUAUUAGAUCAUAUGGGAUUUUUUUGUUUAUUUGUUUUAUUUUAAGAUUUUAUUUAUUUAUUUGAGAGAGAGAAUGAGAGAGAGAGAGAGAGCACAUGGCGGGGGGAGGGUCAGAGGGAGAAGCAGGCUCCCCGCUGAGCAGGGAGCCCGAUGUGGGGCUCGAUCCCAGGACCCUGGGAUCAUGACCUGAGCCGAAGGCAGUCGCUUUAACCAACUGAGCCACCCAGGCGCCCUCUAUUUUUAAUUUUUUGAAGAACUCCCAUAGUGUUUUCCACAGUGGCUGCACCAAUUUGCAUUCCCACCAAUACUGCAUGAGGGUUCCUUUUUCUCCACAUCCUCAUCAACACUUGUUUUUUCUUAUCAUUCUGAUAUUGACCAUUCUAAUUGGUGCGAGGUGAUAUUUCACUGUAGUAUAGAUUUAAAUUUCCUGAUGAUGAGUGAUGUUGAGCAUCUUUUCAUGUGUCUGUUGGCCAUCUUAUUAGAAACUAAUUAAAAAAAAAAAAAGCGUUGUCAUAGUCUUAGUGAAGGGUAAUUUCCAGAUGCUGAGCUGAAUGUUUGUUGAAUUAUAAUCUUUUUAACGUAUGGUUUCGUUGUCUUCACAGCUGUUUGUUAAUAGCGGUGUGGUAUUCCAUUCACUUGCUGUAUUGUAGUUAACCUGAGGAUCCAUCAUAGCGGGAUGUUUAUAAUGCUGCCAAUUUUUGCUGUUAUAUGUAAUGCUGGAUGACUGCCUUUUUGUGUAUAGAUUUGUUUUGAGUGAUUUUCUUAGAACAAAUUCCCACGAGUGGGAUUAUGGGGUCAAAAUAUAAAAUUCUUUUAUGGGGCACGCUGUCUUCCGGAGGGACAGGAACCGGUGGUUGGGGCCACUGGCAAUGACUUGAUUCUCACCCUGCACCUGAGCCCAGCUGGCCUCUGCCGGAGAAGGCCCGGCGGCAUGCUGCUACCCAGGGACCGACUCGGCGUGGCCGGUUAAAACACGGUCCCAGCGCCGCUGUCUGCUGCUCGAGUUUGCACCGAUGUACAAAGCGCAUCCCACUGGCCCAGGAGUGAGGACGGCUUUGCAAAGGUAGGUUUACUGAGCUUGGAGGUCAAGUGCGUGGGCUGUGGAGCAAGAGGUUUGUCAUCAAGCCCCAGCCCCACUGGGUAGUUAGGUGUGUAACUUUGGGUCAAGUUGCCUAAUACCCCUGGCUGUUUUCUCAUUUGUAAAAUGAAAG
This is an RNA transcript of Mirounga angustirostris (Northern elephant seal), 8227 nucleotides long. It is a transcript of the gene named small lysine rich protein 1, with no coding region annotated. Lineage: Eukaryota; Metazoa; Chordata; Mammalia; Carnivora; Phocidae. The transcript is spliced from 5 exons. The record is from RefSeq and is a predicted model, not a curated record.